ACUCAAAGGAAUAGACGGGAAGGCGCACAACCAGUGGAGCAUGUGGUUUAAUUCGAAACAAAACGAAGAACCUUACCCAGUCUUGACAUACUACCGUUUAUUUUUCUGGAAACAGAGAGAAAUCCUUUAGAAAUAUUGGAUGGUAGAACAGGUGCUGCAUGGCCGUCGUCAGCUCGUGUCGUGAGGUGUUCCCUUCAGUGGGGUAACGAGCGCAACCCCUGCCCUGAGUUAAAUAUUCUCAGGGGACUUCCCUCAUUUAUUGCGGGAGGAAGCGGGGACGAUGUCAGGUCAGCAUGGCCCUUAUGACUGGGGCAACACACAUACUACAAUGGAGCCAACAAUGAGUUGCCAACGCGUAAGCGGGAGCUAAUCUCAUCAAAUGGCUUCUCAGUUGGGAUUGAGGGCUGCAACUCGCCCUCAUGAACAUGGAAUUGGUAGUAAUCGCGGGUCAGCUAUACCGCGGUGAAUACGUUCUCGCCUUUUGUACACACCGCCCGU
RNAcentral lists this ribosomal RNA (498 nucleotides) under uncultured bacterium. Its description in RNAcentral is "partial 16S ribosomal RNA". It matches the Rfam family "Bacterial small subunit ribosomal RNA", at positions 899 to 1397 of the family's 1533-position model. The record is from RNAcentral.